GCCUUCGAUGUGUAGUGGUCAGCACACUCGGCGCGUAUUCUAGAGGUCCGCGGUUCGAGUCCCAGCGAGGGCA
RNAcentral lists this transfer RNA (73 nucleotides) under Stegodyphus mimosarum. It matches the Rfam family "tRNA". From Rfam's summary of the family: Transfer RNA (tRNA) molecules are approximately 80 nucleotides in length. Their secondary structure includes four short double-helical elements and three loops (D, anti-codon, and T loops). The record is from Rfam by way of RNAcentral. Lineage: Eukaryota; Metazoa; Arthropoda; Arachnida; Araneae; Eresidae.